Molecule: ribosomal RNA, 301 nt
Filed under: uncultured bacterium
Lineage: Bacteria
Description: partial 16S ribosomal RNA
Rfam family: Bacterial small subunit ribosomal RNA
Source: RNAcentral
CAGCCGCCGCGGGAAUACGGAGGGCGCGAGCGUUACCCGGAUUCACUGGGCGUAAAGGGCGUGUAGGCGGCCUGGGGCGUCCCAUGUGAAAGGCCACGGCUCAACCGUGGAGGAGCGUGGGAUACGCUCAGGCUAGAGGGUGGGAGAGGGUGGUGGAAUUCCCGGAGUAGCGGUGAAAUGCGCAGAUACCGGGAGGAACGCCGAUGGCGAAGGCAGCUACCUGGUCCACUUCUGACGCUGAGGCGCGAAAGCGUGGGGAGCAAACCGGAUUAGAUACCCCUGUAGUCCCUGUCUCUUAUAC